Molecule: ribosomal RNA, 253 nt
Filed under: Segatella copri DSM 18205
Lineage: Bacteria; Pseudomonadati; Bacteroidota; Bacteroidia; Bacteroidales; Prevotellaceae
Also listed under: 1 other name
Description: Prevotella copri DSM 18205 partial 16S ribosomal RNA
Rfam family: Bacterial small subunit ribosomal RNA
Source: RNAcentral
UACGGAAGGUCCGGGCGUUAUCCGGAUUUAUUGGGUUUAAAGGGAGCGUAGGCCGGAGAUUAAGCGUGUUGUGAAAUGUAGAUGCUCAACAUCUGCACUGCAGCGCGAACUGGUUUCCUUGAGUACGCACAAAGUGGGCGGAAUUCGUGGUGUAGCGGUGAAAUGCUUAGAUAUCACGAAGAACUCCGAUUGCGAAGGCAGCUCACUGGAGCGCAACUGACGCUGAAGCUCGAAAGUGCGGGUAUCGAACAGG